CCUACGGGCGGCAGCAGUGAGGAAUAUUGGUCAAUGGACGAGAGUCUGAACCAGCCAAGUAGCGUGAAGGAUGACUGCCCUAUGGGUUGUAAACUUCUUUUAUAUGGGAAUAAAACGUUCCACGUGUGGGAUUUUGUAUGUACCAUAUGAAUAAGGAUCGGCUAACUCCGUGCCAGCAGCCGCGGUAAUACGGAGGAUCCGAGCGUUAUCCGGAUUUAUUGGGUUUAAAGGGAGCGUAGGUGGAUUGUUAAGUCAGUUGUGAAAGUUUGUGGCUCAACCGUAAAAUUGCAGUUGAAACUGGCAGUCUUGAGUACAGUAGAGGUGGGCGGAAUUCGUGGUGUAGCGGUGAAAUGCUUAGAUAUCACGAAGAACUCCGAUUGCGAAGGCAGUUCACUGGACUGCAACUGACACUGAGGCUCGAAAGUGUGGGUAUCAAACAGGAUUAGAUACCCUGGUAGUC
This 460-nucleotide ribosomal RNA is filed under the name uncultured bacterium. RNAcentral describes it as "partial 16S ribosomal RNA". It matches the Rfam family "Bacterial small subunit ribosomal RNA", at positions 338 to 795 of the family's 1533-position model. The record is from RNAcentral.